This 253-nucleotide ribosomal RNA is filed under the name uncultured bacterium. RNAcentral's name for it is "partial 16S ribosomal RNA". It matches the Rfam family "Bacterial small subunit ribosomal RNA", at positions 524 to 776 of the family's 1533-position model. The record is from RNAcentral.
UACGUAGGGUGCGAGCGUUGUCCGGAAUUACUGGGCGUAAAGCGUGCGUAGACGGUUAUUUAAGUCGGAUGUGAAAGCCCCGGGCUCAACCUGGGAAUUGCAUUCGAGACUGAAUAGCUAGGGUGCGGUAGAGGGAAGCGGAAUUUCCGGUGUAGCGGUGAAAUGCGUAGAUAUCGGAAGGAACAUCAGUGGCGAAAGCGGCUUCCUGGACCAGCACCGACGUUCAGGCACGAAAGCGUGGGGAGCAAACAGG